RNAcentral lists this ribosomal RNA (690 nucleotides) under uncultured bacterium. Its description in RNAcentral is "bacterial SSU rRNA". It matches the Rfam family "Bacterial small subunit ribosomal RNA", at positions 8 to 734 of the family's 1533-position model. The record is from RNAcentral.
AGAGUUUGAUCCUGGCUCAGAACGAACGCUGGCGGCAGGCCUAACACAUGCAAGUCGAACGAUAAGCCACCUUCGGGUGGUGGACAGUGGCAGACGGGUGAGUAACGCGUGGGAACGUGCCUUUCGGUUCGGGAUAACCCAGGGAAACUUGGGCUAAUACCGGAUACGCCCUUCGGGGGAAAGAUUCAUUGCCGAAAGAUCGGCCCGCGUCGGAUUAGCUAGUUGGUGGGGUAAUGGCCUACCAAGGCGACGAUCCGUAGCUGGUCUGAGAGGAUGACCAGCCACACUGGGACUGAGACACGGCCCAGACUCCUACGGGAGGCAGCAGUGGGGAAUAUUGGACAAUGGGCGAAAGCCUGAUCCAGCCAUGCCGCGUGGGUGAAGAAGGCCUUAGGGUUGUAAACCCCUUUCAGCGGGGACGAUAAUGACGGUACCCGCAGAAGAAGUCCCGGCUAACUCCGUGCCAGCAGCCGCGGUAAUACGGAGGGGACUAGCGUUGUUCGGAAUUACUGGGCGUAAAGCGCACGUAGGCGGAUUUGUUAGUCAGGGGUGAAAUCCCGAGGCUCAACCUCGGAACUGCCUUUGAUACUGCAAAUCUCGAGUCCGGAAGAGGUGAGUGGAAUUCCUAGUGUAGAGGUGAAAUGCGUAGAUAUCAGGAGGAACACCGGUGGCGAAGGCGGCUCUCUGGAC